RNAcentral lists this ribosomal RNA (496 nucleotides) under uncultured bacterium. Its description in RNAcentral is "partial 16S ribosomal RNA". It matches the Rfam family "Bacterial small subunit ribosomal RNA", at positions 28 to 507 of the family's 1533-position model. The record is from RNAcentral.
GAUGAACGCUGGCGGCGUGCCUAAUACAUGCAAGUCGAGCGAACAGACGAGGAGCUUGCUCCUUUGACGUUAGCGGCGGACGGGUGAGUAACACGUGGAUAACCUACCUAUAAGACUGGGAUAACUUCGGGAAACCGGAGCUAAUACCGGAUAACAUGUUGAACCGCAUGGUUCAACAGUGAAAGACGGUCUUGCUGUCACUUAUAGAUGGAUCCGCGCCGCAUUAGCUAGUUGGUAAGGUAACGGCUUACCAAGGCAACGAUGCGUAGCCGACCUGAGAGGGUGAUCGGCCACACUGGAACUGAGACACGGUCCAGACUCCUACGGGAGGCAGCAGUAGGGAAUCUUCCGCAAUGGGCGAAAGCCUGACGGAGCAACGCCGCGUGAGUGAAGAAGGUCUUCGGAUCGUAAACUCUGUUAUUAGGGAAGAACAAAUGUGUAAGUAACUAUGCACGUCUUGACGGUACCUAAUCAGAAAGCCACGGCUAACUACGUG